UCUGAGAUGGAGAUGAGUGUGCAGGGGUGUGUGGAGAACUCUUGGGAAUAGCACCUUUAAAAAGCCAACAUGAACAGAGGAUUGGAAAGAGUGAAAGAGUAAAUACAUCAGGAGUAGAUGUUUGCAGCGUGGUGAGUUUGACCAAAACCAAAGCCGAAGCAGUCUAUUGGAGGGUAAAGUUUCUGCUUCAAGGCAUUUGGAAACCACACUCAAGGAAACCAUAGGCCAUAGGAGAGAUAAGGAUGUUUAUUUGCAGCCAUCAAGAGAAGAAGAUGGUACAAAGAGGAACUGUGAACAAAAGG
Molecule: long non-coding RNA, 302 nt
Organism: Symphalangus syndactylus (siamang)
Lineage: Eukaryota; Metazoa; Chordata; Mammalia; Primates; Hylobatidae
Source: RefSeq, a predicted model, not a curated record